UGACUAGUCUGAGCACAGGUGUCCAUA
RNAcentral lists this non-coding RNA (27 nucleotides) under Homo sapiens (human). The record is from RNAcentral. Lineage: Eukaryota; Metazoa; Chordata; Mammalia; Primates; Hominidae.